This 73-nucleotide transfer RNA is filed under the name Ictidomys tridecemlineatus (thirteen-lined ground squirrel). RNAcentral describes it as "Spermophilus tridecemlineatus (thirteen-lined ground squirrel) tRNA". It matches the Rfam family "tRNA". From Rfam's summary of the family: Transfer RNA (tRNA) molecules are approximately 80 nucleotides in length. Their secondary structure includes four short double-helical elements and three loops (D, anti-codon, and T loops). Further hydrogen bonds mediate the characteristic L-shaped molecular structure. tRNAs have two regions of fundamental functional importance: the anti-codon, which is responsible for specific mRNA codon recognition, and the 3' end, to which the tRNAs corresponding amino acid is attached (by aminoacyl-tRNA synthetases). tRNAs cope with the degeneracy of the genetic code in two manners: having more than one tRNA (with a specific anti-codon) for a particular amino acid; and 'wobble' base-pairing, i.e. permitting non-standard base-pairing at the 3rd anti-codon position. Lineage: Eukaryota; Metazoa; Chordata; Mammalia; Rodentia; Sciuridae. The record is from Rfam by way of RNAcentral.
GGGGAUAUGGCUUAGCUGGUAGUGUGUUUGCCUCUCAUGCACAAGGCCCUGGGUUCAAACUCCAGCAUUGCCA